RNAcentral lists this long non-coding RNA (481 nucleotides) under Equus caballus (horse). RNAcentral's name for it is "lncRNA (ENSECAG00000033135.3)". The record is from RNAcentral. Lineage: Eukaryota; Metazoa; Chordata; Mammalia; Perissodactyla; Equidae.
GAAGAUUCUAAUGGAUGCUCUGAACAAUUAGAGGGCCUCUUCAGCUGCUUUUUCAGUUUGAAGUUAUGAUUGGAGGAGACCUCGAAAUUCAGCUGUGUGCAGUAUUUACAGGCAUUGUAUCAUCUCACAUCACCACAAGAAGAAGGGUAUCAACUGGUCAUGUUCUUCCCAACGUGUAUUCUGGUUUAGGGUAAAAUGGAUCCCAGUGGAGUCUGAGAGAAUGGAUCAGUUCAACCCCUCUAAGAGCUUGACCUCUAAGCAUAGAGGUGGAGCCGACUGCUUUCCCAUCCAUCAGUUCUCUUUCAACCUGAUGUGGAGAUGAUGACAAAAAGAAUGGACUUUAACAAGAAGUAUUUAACAUUCAAAGCCAGCCUCCUGACUUGACACUAUCCUCCUAGAUUUGGAGGCUUUUUGUUUUCAUAUCUUCAGUGACACCUAGGAAAGUGCUUAACAUGUAUGUAAUGCUUAAUAAAGAUUUGCU